RNAcentral lists this ribosomal RNA (342 nucleotides) under uncultured Rhodoferax sp. RNAcentral's name for it is "bacterial SSU rRNA". It matches the Rfam family "Bacterial small subunit ribosomal RNA", at positions 1037 to 1382 of the family's 1533-position model. The record is from RNAcentral. Lineage: Bacteria; Pseudomonadati; Pseudomonadota; Betaproteobacteria; Burkholderiales; Comamonadaceae.
GGUGCUGCAUGGCUGUCGUCAGCUCGUGUCGUGAGAUGUGGGUUAAGUCCCGCAACGAGCGCAACCCUUGUCAUUAGUUGCUACAUUCAGUUGGGCACUCUAAUGAGACUGCCGGUGACAAGCCGGAGGAAGUGGGGAUGACGUCAAGUCCUCAUGGCCCUUAUAGGUGGGGGCUACACACGUCAUACAAUGGCUGGUACAAAGGGUUGCCAACCCGCGAGGGGGAGCUAAUCCCAUAAAGCCAGUCGUAGUCCGGAUCGUAGUCUGCAACUCGACUACGUGAAGUCGGAAUCGCUAGUAAUCGUGGAUCAGAAUGUCACGGUGAAUACGUUCCCGGGUCUU